RNAcentral lists this long non-coding RNA (12901 nucleotides) under Coffea arabica (coffee). Its description in RNAcentral is "long non-coding RNA (CARA_LNC001016)". Lineage: Eukaryota; Viridiplantae; Streptophyta; Magnoliopsida; Gentianales; Rubiaceae. The record is from RNAcentral.
UUUUUUUUUUUUUUUUUUUUGGUCGGUAUCAUAUUCAAAUUUACCUGAUAAUUGGGGGUGGGAAGGUCGAGGUGAGAGGUAACACUAUCUAGUUCUUACAUUUCUUUCAGGGAAAUGGAAGGGUACAAUCUAGGAUCUACGGUUUUAUAGUAUUCAUUGAGUUGGAGUUGGGAGAUAAUUGUACAAUUUUGCUAAAUUUGGUCGGAGGUUUCGGAGACAACAACGUUCAUAACACAAGUUGCUAAUUCUGCUUUGUAGUAAAUUUGCGGAAGCUAUCCCAACCACUUAACGUCUGAGGAUGGGCGGUGAGACAAGAACUGGGACAAAUUAUUGACAAAGUCAAACAAGAAACGCUGGACCAAGCAAACUGCAAAAGUAUCCAUUCCUACCAAUUACCAAUGAGGCAAUCACAGCCGCCACGCGCUCCAGUAAUAAAUUCAAGUUACGAGUAUUAAUAGUUACACAUGAUUUUGCUGCCGACGACCCAUGCUCCACAAUAUACAUGGGAGUAUAAAUUAUUUCGUCGAGAAAAUAUUUUUCCCACCCAUCAAUCGAGAAAACUAUUUUUGUGGUUAAAAGCAAAGUGAAAAAAUUUUCCAGCCCAUCAAUUGAGAAAACUAUGAAUCAGCACAUAGGAUGUUCAUAAUUAUAUAUAUUCUCGCGAUCGAUCGCCUAUUGUCUUUUUCCAUUACAAAAAAAAAAAAAAAAAAAAAUCUCCUGUUCUAUCUUAUUGCCAACUUGAAAAUUCAGAAGCCUUGUUGAUUUUUUCUUUUUUAUUUUUAUUUUGGUGGAGAGAGCACCGACACAAGAUCUUUGCUCUUUUGCCUUCGUUACCAUACUGACAAUUUAUCCUUGUUUAAAGUAAAUUUUACUGUCAAUUUAUCUUGUUUAGCAUCAAGAAGUAAGCAGCAUUCGACUAGCACAAACACAAUGGUAAAUCACUUUUAUAUUAAUGACACGAACAAUCCACAUGGCUACAACAGACUCAUUUACUUCUUCAAAUCGGCCAACGCCAAAGCCUUCACAAGUUUUCCUCCUACUGCAUUAAACUCCAUGCAACGCGGCUAUUGGACAAGAAAGAUAUUCAUACAUAUGCAUAACCUUUAUACAUGGCAGCACCAAAUUUAACGAACCUCUGAACCAGCCCCACCACCUCCCUUAAAUUCCUAUAAUAUUCCCGUAAAAUUUUGAUAUAAUUUCAACUAUGCCGCUCGAAAUUUUAAGAAAGUGAAAAAAUUAUGUGAUUUUCUAAAUUAGUUCAUGAAUUAAUAUUUUAAAAGGAUAUCUGGAUCACAAAAUUUCAUUUGAAAUAAACUACAAAAGACUUUUCAUUUUAACUAAUUGAUGAAUAUUUUUUUUGCUUCAAAAAUUAGAAAAAGAGCCAAUAAAACAUUUUGAUAUUAUUACUUUUACCCCCACUGAAAAUUUUUUCUGGCUCUGCUCCGAACCACAAAACCCAUGUCAAGAUUUUGGCAGCUAUAAUUCAUAAACUUCACCAAAUUAUACGCUCUGGAGAGUCAAAUCAGCAGAUUUGGAGCAUUUAUAGUACAAAGAGAUGCCAACUUAAGAACAUUAUUACUACUUGGCAGAUAUGGAGAAUAUGACAGAUGAUAAGAUGAUUGACUAUUGUAGCAUUUAUUGGGCAUGUGAUUGUGGAUUUUCUGAAGCUGGUGCAAUUAAUUUCUAGCAGAGUAGUUGAGCAACAUUAGAAAGAGAUGCUGAACUGGUCAAAACUCCAAGAAAGGGCAACAAGCUUGAUCUACAACAAUUAGGGCUGCAAUGGUUGCCGUAUCUCUUUCACUUGCACCGAUGGAUGCUUUACCCUUUUUUCUGCUGGGGGACAAAACUGUCAAAAAAUAACAAUAAUCUUGUGCAUAGGUCCCUCAUACACGUUCAGUUCUUCCAGAUUCCGGGCCACUUUAGCGUGCUAUGAGGAGCAGGGAAACACCAUUUGUUGCUGAUAAAAACGCGCGCAAUAACUCGAGAAGGUUUUCAUCUUCAAAAUACAUCAUGCAUGAGUGGAAUCCAACUUUGCAUACACUGGAUGCAGACACAGAAAUGAAAUCAGAAGGCCUUUUCCUCGUCUCCUCUUGAAGUUGAAAAAAGAAUAAUACAUCUAAGCAUAAAAUCAAACGAAGUUACUGCAGAAUUUAAGCUACUUGAUCAGCAGAAUACCAACUUUAACUUCUAUUUAACAGAAAGUAGUCAGACGAAAGGGAAAUAUUGCAGCUACUAGUUUUGUUUAAGCCCCAACAUUCAGCAGCAUUAGCUAAUAUACGAUUCAUGUCUCGAUAAGAUAAGCCACCAGCUUUGACGGACAGACAAGUUAAUUAAUUAAUAACCAAAAAGAUUGAUCACAGAAUAAGCCAAGCCUUUCCUGGAACUCAAAAUGAAUCCAAUCCCUGCUGAGUGUAAGGAGCCCUCGCACAAGCGUGAAUUGUGGUAAGCAAUGCUUCAUGAGCAAACACUGUCAAGAAGGAAAUACAGAUUGCAUAUCGCAGCAUGGUGAUUAAGCAUUCCUAAUCGUUUACAGUAAUCACAACAACAUCUGAAAUUCUAAGUUGUGAAUGUAAAUGUACCUAUCCUUGACUUGAGCUCUUAUCUUGGAAAAAAGAUAGUCAACAGGUAGAAUUGAUAAUACAAUAGGAGUUGAACUCUUACAAUUUCAAAUGAGGAUGUAAAUUUAAAAAAAAAACACACACACACAUAUUCGGCUCUUUCAGUUUUUUGGAGCUGCUUUAGCAUGUAGCAGGGAGCAGCGUAACAUCAAUUACUUGUUGCUGAUCAAGACAUUCGUAAUACUCCAGUUAAUGAACUUAAGAAAGGUUUGCAUAUUCAAUAUACAUCAUCCAAGAACGGAAGACAACUUCAAACAAAGUUCUGCCAAUAGAAGCUAUGUGUGAUGCAGAAAAUUUCAGCCCAUGGAAUUGGAAUCAAAAAGACCUUCUGUCUCCUCUUGGAAGUGUUGAACAUAAUUCACAAGAGGUUAGAAUCAAAGUUCAGGCAAAACUUAAUUUGCUUCAUCAGAAAAUAGAACUUCAACUUCUAUAUCUAUAAGAAAAUAGUCAGCCAAAAGGAAAAUCUAGCAGCAAGUGGGGCUAUUUUGAAUGACUAGCAGGACCUUCUUUAUGCCACUUGAGCCAAGUAUAAUUACAGCAUUUAGCAGCAUUAGGUAAUAAAGUUUGGUGACAUAUAGACAGCAGCUCAAAAUCAUUUCUUUAUUGUUAUUUAGAAUGCUUGCAGUGCUUUGCCGGAAAAGAUGCAUCAGCUACUUAUGAGCUCAAAGUCUAUCCAGAUAUUAAUUUAGUAAACAGGGGUCACGUAGAAAAAGAUGAUAGUCUAGGGACUGAAUUAUCAAAUUGAAGUUCAAGAUGAAAAGUAUUGCAAGUAUAAUAAUGCGAGGAUGCAAAAUGGAAUCAGUCUUUUCUAAUUCAAUUUUCUUUUCUCAUUUUACUCUCAGAUUUGCACUCUGGAAGUUCUCAUUCAGCCCUAGUCAUGUAUAAAAUUAACUUAAAAAUAGAAAGAAUACAUGGAUAGAAAAUCAUGAAACUUUCAAAGCAUGAAACUUUUCACAUCUCUAUGAUUCUUAAUGUAACAUGACCAGAGUCUAAGGUUGAAGGUGAGGGCCUUUAGCUAUGAGGAACCAGUUUGUAGGACAACUCCAGUCAAUGUGAAUAUGUAAUCUGUCCAAAUUUGUUGAUACUACAUUUAAAAGAACAAUAAGAUAGAUGGCAUUUAGAAUCCUAUAAGAAAAUCAUGAUUGAACUUUUUUUGAAAAGAAAGAAGUUACACAUAUUACUAUACUGGAAACAGGUUCUCAGACCAAUAUUAUAGCACAGACAUCUUAUUAAGAGAAAGCUGUAAUUUCAGAGAUGCAUCACAUAAUGUUAAGUUUCAAAUACACACAACCCAUAGCAAAUCAAGAGCAAAAUUGCAACUGACUUCCACUUACAAGAAACAAGCAGGAUGUGAUAUGAUUCUCAUGCGAAAAAAAGCGCACAUACACAAAGAAACCCAAAAGAGAGGAGCUUAUAUCCAUAUAAAAUGGUAGCAGACCAAAAGAUGCAUAUCACUGACCAAUAUGACACAAACUGAUACAAUCAUUAUGUGAAAUUCAUCAAACUAGCUCAGCAGGUAAACUACAUUAAAGUACGCCAGGCAUUUUUUCUGAGUCAUUAUAUUCAGGAUACAGACUCUUUAGGCUAUUGUUUACCAUAUUGGAGGGACAAUGAUCUGUUUGUGAAAGAUAAGGUUUAAAUCCUUUUUCAUCAGAAGACCUCACAUUAUUGCAUAUCUUAAUGUCGUUUAACAUAUCUUGACACCCAUAACACUCCUAACAUAAUAUUCUAGCAAAGCAAAACCUAUUGGUCAUAAAAACAGCAUGAUAAUCAUCCAAUUCUGCAUCUGUAAUAAUUUAGUUGCUAUUUGUUUCUUAAUGCAAUUUAUAAGCAUUUGAGAAAUAGAUACAUUCUCUUUGCAAUCUCUUAACAAGAUAUUCUCGAUGAAAAUGGAUCUGACAUAUGAUACCAAUAUCCAACACUUUGAAUUGAAAUCUUAAAUUAUGAUUAGCUGAGAGAAUUCAGACUAUGCACUGCACGUCACUGUACCAAAUUAUCGACCUCUGUCAAUCUCCCCACCCUUUGAAACAAGACAUACAGACAGAAGGCCAUAUUACCCAGCAACUAAGUCUUUAUCAAUGUCCCAGACGAAACAAGAGGAAAAGAAUAGUCCAAUAUGUUCCUUUAUCAUUUCUACACGAACAGAAUAAAUUGAAGAGAUAAGAAAACACAAGUUUGCAAUUGUCACAGUGAAUUCUGAGAUUCAGUCCAUUAGAAGAUUAAUAUCCCCCAAUGCUAAACGAGAAAGGUGCCCAACCCAUAUUGUUUCUCAUCAUAGCUUAUCCCUACCUAUACAUUAACUUUUAGAAGAUAAAUUUACUGACUAGAUUAAGAUAAUUUAGGCAAGUCGAAGGUAAAAACAAACUUAGUUAAAAUGACUGACUGAGGCUAGCAAAAGAAAGGGUUAGACUAAACAUUAUUAGGAAUGGUUUAACUAAAACAGAUUCAAGAUUUAUAACUAUACAGGAAGUAUUACACUAAAUAGAGCCAAAUGGAAGAACUGAACUCAUCUAGAAGAAAGAUUAAAGCUUGAAAGAUUACUGUGGUGGAACUCGAUUUGGGUUAAUUUAACAUGAUAUUGUUCAUGUUCUCACCGCUUAGAUCACCAUUCACUAGGUACCUAAGUAACAAAUUCAAGCAACAAUACAGAACAUAAGGCAUGCAGUUUCCAGUUAGCAAGGUUUUCAUUGAAAUGCCUCCCUAGAAAGCCAGUUUCACACAACCUAGAGCCAUUCGGCUUUCUGUACCAUUUAAUCUUUCACUUGACAAGCAAAUUGGAACAAAGGAAAAUUUAACCUCUCUAUAGUGAAAAAGUGAAAGUAACAUAACUCCAAGUUUACCCUCGGUGAUAAGAAGACUACUUACAAAACUAGGCAAACACAAAGAGGUUGUCUAUGCCACAUGAUUUGUGGCUUUUUGUUCCACUUCUACAAUUAGUUCAGAAUUCUGCUUUUUACCUUAUCUCCUUGAGCCAUUCUGACAUCAUUGGAUGCAGAAAUGUGUUUUUCCCAUUUAUUGUACCAGUUCAGUAAGGAAUUUCCAAAUUGUCCUUCGCCUUUCUUGUUUGUGAAAAGUUGGAGCUUUCUUCCUUUGCUAUUUUCUGAAAGUUGCCCACUGUACUAAUUUCAUCCUAUAAGCAAGAGUAUACUCCAUCCCCUGCCUUGGGAAGCUAUUGGCACAGUUUAAAAGCUCCAAGUAAGAGAUACACCUAUUGCAUAAAUGGUUUCUGUGAUUGAGCUCUAUGGAAGCCAUCUUUAGCUGCACACAUCCCAGAUUAAUACUUAUUUCUAGAAAUCUACAAUUCCCUCCGAAAUGUUAUGUGACUAUUUCAUGAAAUAGGAUAAGGAGUUGCAUACUUCCAAUAUAUCAUUCCUAGAAGACAAACCUUCCUUCAGAGUGGAUGAUGCCAGUAAAAUUGCUGCCCUUAAAUUCGGCAUAAACAUUUCAGAAGAACUCAGAACUUCAAAUUUGAUCAAAACCAUGAGUGAAGUGCCCCAAAUAUCAGAUGCAAAACUUAUAGUCAUGUUCCAUGAAGCUCCAAAAUUGGAUUCCCUUUUUUGCUCCCUUAUGUUUUUCAUAAACUUAACAACUUCUGCUUGAAUGAUAAGGGCAAGAAUAUAAAGAAACUGAUUCAUUAGGGCACGUAAAUCGACUUGAUCAACGUUAUCUACUCCAUGAAACAGCUUGGAAUUUAUACUCAUAAUCUGCUGAUAACAUUCUCAUAACUGUGAAAAUACAAAAGCUCAAGCAUAAUCUUAAAAUUCAAGUAGAUCAUUUCAUUUACUCCAAGCUUUUUUGUAGAGGUCUUAAUAACAACCAAAACUGCUUUUUGAUAACAUUUUGAAGUGACUACAGGAUAGACAUACACAAGCAAAAGGCGUCUUCAAACCCUGAAUUGUUCUCCCAUAAACUCACAAACAUGAGAUGAUCACAAGUCAGUUCUGCUAAAUGUCGAGGCAGUGUACUGUGCAGCCAUGUCCUUCAGAACUUGGAUCAAGCCCUUCAAGUCAUUCGUACCUAACUCAAGACAGUCCCUUAACAAGUCACCCUCCACCACCUCUUUCUGCAUUGUCUCAACAACUUCCCUAAAGGGUCCCUGCGCCAUACCCAUUAAAAACCUUUAAAAAAAUCAUCUUUACACGGAAAAACAGUGCUUUAUUUUAUAUUUCUAAUCACUUCCAUCUGUAAGCUGCUUACCAUGUUCCAGAAACUUGUACUUAAACUAGAAAAUAAUAAAAGAAAGAGAACUUCAUCCAAAAAUAAAUUCACUGAACUUAUUCAUUCAACUUGAUAUUUAAACAAUCAAUUAUUCCCAUAAUCACUGCAAUGAAACAUCUUUUAACACUAAGCACUAAUUCUGUUAAUUUUUGUCUAUUUUACAAACUUUACAAGCUCGAUUUUAAUGCUUUUCUUUGAACAUAUGGCUAUUUUCUACAAUACUUUAGCUCAUUCAUCAACUAAAAUCUUUCAAAACUUAGCUGAAGAGACCUUACCAUGUCACAUAAUAGCCAUACAAGAAAGUUUAACGAAAAUGGCACGCUUUAAUCUCUAAUUCAUAAAAAGAGCAUAAUUUUGGGCUCAUUGUUAUAAAAUAGUAAUUUGUACUCACUUUUCUACAAAAUUUACACUCUUUAUUUACAUUUAGCAAUUUGUAGACAUGUCCAUAAUUAUGCUUUUUUAACUAAGCAUCGCAUCCCCCCCUCCCCAAAAAAAACACACAUAUCAAUGCCAGGAGAAAAUUUUUAUUAGGUUUAAAUUGCAGAGGUUGGGGAAAUAAUAACUCAAAAAAAUAGAGAAAAAAAGCAUUACCGAUUGUCGAAAUAUUUUGAGGAGUUUAUCAAACAGCGACCUGGAAACGGUGAAGACUCUAUUAUAGUUUCGGCCGACCCAGGCGACUCGCUCGGAAUCAGAGCCGACUCGGGACAACUCGUUGAGCUCCCUGAGCAACUCGUUAAGGUCGGAAACGGCAAAGGAGAGGUCAGUUAUUGAGACCGUAUUGAUAUCCCGCCAGGCGUAAUUUUUAAGAUAGUCCGAACCGAGGUUCCAAGUGAAUUUCCAGAGGCCUAGUCCCUGAACUGACUCGAUUUUGUGCGCUAUAGUUCGGGCACGGGCUGAGCCCGUGAGGUCGCCUCGUGAGGCACGGAGGUUGGCAACUCGCACAGCGAGCGAGUGGGAUAGGGAAAGUAGAGUGCCGUAGUUGGAGAGAGGGAAGGAGAGGGAAAAAGUGGGUGAUGGUGCGAAGAGGAGGAAGAAGAAGAGGAGGAAAGAGAAGAGUUUGUUUUUCACGAGAGAAGUAAGCAUUGACUGAGAGAGAAGAGCAGCGCCGCUUUCCACGGUGGCGGUGCUGGAGGACCGGCGGUGGUUCGGAUCUUGGAGAAUGGCGGGGAACAUAGGCUCCGUGUAAUUAUAUCACAGGGUUAAUCACAUUUUAUCCCCUUAAAGAAUAUUUCAUUUCUCAGUUUACUCCCUAACCUUUAAUUUUGCUCACUUAACCAUCUGUAGGACAAAAUUACCAUUGCAUUAUUUUGACUUUUCAUUUACCUUGUUUUCCUUUCUUUUAUUUCUUUUUCUCUUUCUUCUUUAUUUAAUUCUUCCUCUUUCCCACAAAAAUCUUUAUCUUAAUGAUUGAAAUUAAAAAAAAUAAAUUACAGAGAUCUAUCUUCUCCUUAAAUGAUUAAAAAAAAUAUUCAAAUCACUUUCCUAAAAUACAAUUUUUUUAGCCUUUCAAUUCUUUUAAUUUUAAAUUUCUCUCUUUCAUUUCUAGUUUCUCAUUUUAUUUCCAAGAAAAUAUUUUAAGAUGAAAUUAUAAAAGUAUCUUAUUUUCCAUUUUGUGAUGUCUCAAAAUAUUUAUCUUAUUAAGAAAAUCAAGAUAUCUUUUAAUCUCUUUUUCUAAUAUAGUCUUUCUCUAUAAUCAUAUACGUGUUACUAUUCAAAUUCAAAUUUUGAAUUUGUAUGGAUAAAAUUGGAAAGAAAAAUACAAAUAUCACAAUCAAAUCACUAUUUUUUAAAAGUUGAAUUCCCAAAAUAUGAUUAAAUAAUUGGAACGAAGGAAGUAAUAAAUAAGACAUGCUCUAAUUAGAACAUGGGCUCCGUGAAUAACUAGAGCAUUAAUUAACUAUUAGUAAAUAAUCAACAAAAUAACUGUUGAGAAUUUCUUUAAUGGUGAACAGCGACAUAUAAUUAUAAAAUAACGCCAAUUGAUAUAUCAAAUGGCGCUAUUUUGUGAUCGAUAAAACUUGAUAAUGACAAGAAAUUAGUUGUAUACAAUAUCAGAAGAAAGCUUUGGUAGAAUUCAUGUGGAAAUUGUCUUUGAAACACUUGAAACUGUAGUAGUUGUAAAGAAAUUUUGCAAAAAUAAAGAAUAAAUGAGGGAAAAGAAAAGCAAAUUUUGAAUUUUUUUAAUUCAAAAUCACAAAAAUUGUAGCAAAACUUAUAUUAAGAGAGAUGACUGAAUUUGGCGAUCAUUAGUGUAGUUUUGUUGCUUAUUUAUGUUGUCUAAUGCAUUAAAUGUGAACUUUUUGAAUAGGGUAAUAUAUGUGUUAAUUGUUUCUAACUUUUAAUUACUUUCAUCCUUUUACUAAUAUAACUUAUAUAUAUGCAUAAGAAUCAUUUAUGAAAUAAAAGUUUCAUUUUUUCGCCAUAAAGUACAUAUUUAUUUUUACUUUUUUUGACUUAGACUAAUGUUGUUACCAAAACCCUAAUUUCAGAGGAGGUUUGUGUAAUUUUGCAAACUUUAGGGGAAGGUUAGUGAAAUUGUCAGAAAUCUCAGGGAAGGUUUCUAAAAUUAUCUCUUAAUAUUUUUUGUCAUGAUAAUUGGUACAAAACUUUUCAAGAAAAGAAAAAAAAAUUAAAGGCAAAUAAAUGAAAGAUUGAAUGUAGAUGGUGAUGAAACUUUGAAAAUAAAUAGUUUUAGUUGAAAUAGUUCUUUCUUUGAAUCUAUAGUAUUGCAUUCAACAUCUUGAAUAUUAAUUUUGUUAUUUAAAAGUUAAAAUUGAAUGAUAUUUAUGUAAUUUUUAACUAUAUAUUUUCAAAAUAUUUUUAUUUUAGUUAUUAUUCACUAUAUGUUCAGAAACAUAUCCACAUAUAUCUAUUAGAUAUUUAGACUCAUGAACGUCUAGGUCUGGAUCUACUUUUUUAAAUUCCAUAAGUGUUUGAGUUUGGAUUUGGAUACUUACAUCCUAGUUAUAUUUAUUUGGAAACUGGGGACUAGGAAGGAGCAUGAAGUUAUGUUUACGAGACUGAAGGGCCUAACUCUUGACUUUGUACAUUGAUGGAGAAUUUGGUUAUCAUCUCAUCAAAUUAUUAAUGACUCAAUUUAAUUAGAUUCACGUCACCGUAAUAACUUUUCUGAUUCUGUAGUUAAUAGUUACUCCACCGACUAGUGGAGUAAUAAAGAAUUUUACGAGUUACACUCGCCCUCAUUUAGUGCUGUAUCGAAACUAGCAUGAGAAUUUAUUCAUUCACCUGCAGACUUGUUUAGACUUCAAAACGUUUGAAGGCCUAGAAAGUAAAGCAGCAAAAAAGUAAAGCAGCAUGCAUAGGACAGCAGACCAUAACAUUUUCAAGCAAGGGGCUCGAACUCCAAAGGGACAAUUCCAGGAAAUGGCCAGGGUCCGUCGGUUAAGUGCCAGUCUCAUUCCCUUUCAUAACUCACAGUUUUUUGUAUGAGUGUUUCGAUAAAUGGACUCUGCGAAGACACUUCAAAAGCCGGCAACUUUUGAAGUGCUCCGCAGCACUUAACUACUAAACCCCCCAAACCCCCCCAAGCGAUGUGGGAACUUAACCCCACAGGGUGCCCCGCUGCUAAGAGAAGUCUCAUUCAUUCGUUCAUCAUUCAAUUGUUCCUGUGAUUUGGAGUAAAGGCAAGGCAGAAAAAGUGGCAGGGGUAAAGAUGAGAUGACAUUGACAGCAACAGUACACUCUCUGUUUUUCGGAUUUGGGGUAGGGACGGUCAUACUGCACGGUUAAGGGCCAAGAUUGGCCCUCAAAAUUUUGUGCGACUGAGAUUACACCAUGUAACUCGAUUUCCGCGCCAAGUGUGGGAUCCACCACUAUCUGUUGUGAAAAUACAUCUUGUGAAAAAAAAGUUACACGAUGUACAAAGAAAGUUACGGCCAGUUGAUAAUAACUACAAUUGGCAGGGACGGUUGCACCUGCAACCGUCCGUGCCCCGAGUCCCUGUUUUUCCAUUCCUGCCACUUCCGGAGACUCUGCUAGGACUGUCGAUGGGUUGGGCGAGUCCGAAUUCGGCUCGUUCGAUCCGGCAAAAAAUUUAAAUUUAAAAAUUAAAUUUGAAUUAAAUAUAAAUUGGGUUUGGGAUUUAUUAGGCUCAAAUUUGAUAUAGGUUCGGUCCUUUAAAUAUUUAUAUUUUGAUAUUAUAUAUAAUUAUAUAUUCAAAUAUAUUAUUACUAAAUACUAAAUAUAUAUAAAUUACAAAAUACAUUUAAAAAUUCUUUUAUGAGCUUUCUUGAGAACUAAUAUUAGUAAUUCAUAACUGAAUAUCUAACUUUUCUUAUUGGUUGAGUAAAUUUUUAUGUUGGCAUAAUAUUGGUUGAUUUUUUUUUGUCUACAAACACAAAUCAUCAAAUAUGUUUGGAUUUAAAUCACAUGGUUAUAAAAAAAAAAAAGUUCAACUUUUAAAGAUAUAUUGGAUAAUAAUCACAUGUUUUAUUAUUAUUUUUCAUGCAUUUUGAACGAAUUAAAUAUAAAUAUUGUUGAAAACUUUCUGGUUUAUAUACCUUUUAAGAACUAUUAUUUGUUCAUGUUUAGUUUUAAUAUUUGUAAAUGUUAAAUUAGUUUUACAACUUGAUAGUUAUAAUAGGUAUAUUAAGAAAAUUAAGGAGCAAUAUGUGAAAUUGGACUAAACUCGAUUAACGCUCACAACUCGAACAUUAUGUGAGUUGAGUAUGAACUUCAUAUUUAUGAACAUGAAACUCAUAGAUCGAAACCCGAAAAUGCUCCAAAUUAAAUGAAUUGAAUUUAAACUUAUGAAAGUCCGGCUCAUUGGACCGGAUUGAGAGACCUAGACUCUGCACUCCCAUGCGCUCCUUUAUCAGUACCACAUGCAUAUGCGCUUUUCCUUUUAUUCCUUUUAGGUUCCUUGGUCUUCGUUGAUACUUUUUCUCUUUUCUCUUUUUGCCUUUGUUUUUUGUCAGUACAAUUUGUUUUCGUGUUCAUGAAGCAAGAGUAUGAACUUAGAAUGCUGUGAAUACAAGUUAAUUCAAUUAAUAAAAUGAUUCAUUUCUUUAUAUAAGAGUCAUAUGUUCAAAUCAUGUUAUCGAUAUAAAAAUCGUAUUGAAAGUGAUUUAUAUAAAUCUCUACAAGCGGUCUAUAGUAACUAAUGUUACAUCUACCUAAAUUUUUUUUAUCAAAAAAAAAAAGAAUAUGAAAUGUCCAAAACAGCAAGGGCCAGUACCUAGAGAAAUCUUAAACAGCUGCCCUUGCUUUUACUCAUAAAGGCAUCCUUUUACACGGUGAAGUUGUCUAUUCUCCAUUUCCUUUCUAACGGAGCAAGUAUAAAAUUUUCUAACCUUGCCUUUGAACUGGUGGCCAUCACCUAGCUUGGUGGGGUGCCUCCCACCAAAAUAUCACAUUUAAAUAAUUUGCUUCAAAAAAAUUCAGACGGGUGUGUCAUGCACCCGUUUAAUCCGAUGAUAGUUCAAUCCUCUCCGAAUUAUCCCUGGACCUCCUUAGACCCGUCCUCUCCCCUUAAUGUAGUAUAGAUUAGAUUAUACAACUGUUGUCGUCUCCGAAAAAAUAUAUAUAUAAAAUUUUCUAGCUGGCUACCGGGCUGACAUUCAACAAAAAAAAAAAUUCCAAGCAGGCUGCUGGGCUGUCAAAAAAAUUUGUUAAUAUUUGUUAUGUGAUGUUAACAACAACGAUAAGAAGCCUGCUCUUAUAUUAAAGGUUGGCCGACUUGACUACUUACCAUCAAACAUUGACAAAGCACAGCAAUCAGCUCAGUUGAUCGACCAAGGAGGAAAAGACACACAGCGCAACGACAUUUUCAUCCUAAAAUGAUCGAAUACAUAGACAGGCCCAAGGUCGAACACUUCAAAUAUCAAGGAUCAUCAUAAGGUAGAGCAUCCAUCCCUUGUAGUACAAGUUAUAUAUGACAUGACAACAUUAUACAUACGUAUUUAGCAUCAUAAGGUAGAGGGACUGUUCAAACUACCAUGCAGACAUCUUUGAUUCGCAAGAUACAUUCAGCAUUGCAACUGACAGUGGCAAGUCAACAACUUUGAUGCUUAAAGGGGAACUUCCUAGUAAAGUCAGUUGAGACU